GCUGGGCAUGGUGGUGUGUGCCUGUAGUCCCAGCUACUCAGGAGGCUGAGACAGGAGAAUCGCUUGAACUCAGGAGGCAGAGGUUGCAGUGAGCCAAGAUGGCACCAUUGCACUCCAGCCUGGGUAACAGAGUGAGACUCUGUCUCCA
Molecule: small RNA, 148 nt
Filed under: Pongo abelii (Sumatran orangutan)
Lineage: Eukaryota; Metazoa; Chordata; Mammalia; Primates; Hominidae
Description: Metazoan signal recognition particle RNA (ENSPPYG00000031805.1)
Source: Rfam by way of RNAcentral